This 693-nucleotide unclassified non-coding RNA is filed under the name Hevea brasiliensis (rubber tree). Lineage: Eukaryota; Viridiplantae; Streptophyta; Magnoliopsida; Malpighiales; Euphorbiaceae. The record is from RNAcentral.
CCAAAUCUUCAACCUAUUGGCCUCCAAUCCCUCAUUUGGCAUCUUCCGCUUCCGCUUUCCGUUCCCAUUCCCACACGCCUCUCUCACGGCCUCCUCAACCUCCGCUGCACACUUGGCGGAUUCUUUCCUAUACUUCUCUACAUAUUUCUCCGCCUCUCCAUCCCCAGCCCCCUUCUUCCCUUUCUUCACCUUCUUUUUAAUAAAUUCCUCUGCAAUCUUCUCCAAUCUCCUUUCUUCCUCCUCUGCUUUCCACUCCUCCAACCUCUUCUCGGCAUUCACGUGACGCAGCCUCCUCCCACUCAUGUCGCGACACGCGUCGAAGUUGUUGGACUUCUUUUGACCGGCUUUGGUCGCGGCUCCUCGCAGAAGCGAGCCAAACCCGCCCUUGCCGCCAAGGAGGCGGAGCAAGAGGUGGACAGUGCAUUCAGGACUGGAGAUUACGGAACGGUCACGGAGUUGUGUCCCGCUGUAGAUAAGGCGCUGCGAGCAAGUGGGUAUUUUGGUGAUCUCGAAGAUCCGUUGCUUGAUGGCAAGCCCUUCAAUUUGCGGGGCUGUGAAUCUAAGGAUUGCUGUUUUGCCAUCUAGAAGCUUGACGAAUAUCUGGAAGACGUUACUGCAAUCCUCCAUUUUCGUUUUUAGAGAAUCCAAGCUUUCCCUCUGCGGAAAAAAGAGCAAUCGGAUCGAUUGGAUUGG